GUUAAAAAGUCUAUAAAAGCAACAAGGGACACCAAAGACAAGGACACUUAACCAAUCAAUCAAAAGACAUCCCACUUUGCUCUCAGACAAGCAAGAAACCAGAAAGCUUUAGUUUAUCUAGACGCUGUUCUCUUAGCCAUAGAUUCACCAUAGAAAGACAUCUUUUGUCAAGAUUUAAAAGUUCUACUACUUUUCCCCAAUGCUAUAGUAUCGAAUCCCUUUAGUAAAAUGUGUUUUACCUUUCAUUCUGGAAAGAUUACAACCCUUGUAAAACACAAAGAGAAGUGGGUGGCUGCAAGAAGAUGAACCUUGCCUAACAAGGUUAUAAUCUUGCCUAAGUUUCUUUUAUUUGUAUUUACGUAAAGUAGAUAUGUUCUUUAAUGCAUUUCGUUCAAAGUUCUUUAAUAACAAGGAUUUUUACGUAAGGUUAUACUCAUUUCAACUACUUUUCAUUCAAAGUUUUAUUUUGAUGAUUAAUCGGGUUAGACUAAUUAACCUUGCUUCUUUAAUUUUAACUGUAAUCAAAGAAACAGUUGGAAGUAGGGGUGGGUUCGGUUUAAAUCAGUUCGGUUUUUUGCCAAAACCGAAACCAAACCGAAA
RNAcentral lists this long non-coding RNA (600 nucleotides) under Malus domestica (apple). Its description in RNAcentral is "long non-coding RNA (MDOM_LNC016620)". Lineage: Eukaryota; Viridiplantae; Streptophyta; Magnoliopsida; Rosales; Rosaceae. The record is from RNAcentral.